ACUCAGUGGCGGACGGGUGAGUAACACGUAAGAAUUUGCCUUUAGGAGGGGGAUAACAACUGGAAACGGUUGCUAAUACCCCAUAUGCUUUCGAGUGAAAUGGGUUUCCGCCUAAAGGGAAGCUUGCGGCUGAUUAGCUUGUUGGUGAGGUAAUGGCUCACCAAGGCGACGAUCAGUAUCUGGUUUGAGAGGAUGAUCAGACACACUGGAACUGAGACACGGUCCAGACUCCUACGGGAGGCAGCAGUGGGGAAUUUUCCGCAAUGGGCGAAAGCCUGACGGAGCAAUACCGCGUGAGGGAUGACGGCCUAUGGGUUGUAAACCUCUUUUUUCAGGGAGGAAUCAAUGACGUGUACCUGAAGAAUAAGCAUCGGCUAACUCCGUGCCAGCAGCCGCGGUAAGACGGAGGAUGCAAGUGUUAUCCGGAAUCACUGGGCGUAAAGCGUCUGUAGGUGGUCAAAUAAGUCAACUGUUAAAUCUUGAGGCUCAACCUCAAAAUCGCAGUCGAAACUAUUAGACUAGAGUAUAGUAGGGGUAAAGGGAAUUUCCAGUGGAGCGGUGAAAUGCGUAGAGAUUGGAAGGAACACCGAUGGCGAAGGCACUUUACUGGGCUAUUACUAACACUCAGAGACGAAAGCUAGGGUAGCAAAUGGGAUUAGAUACCCCAGUAGUCCUAGCUGUAAACAAUGGAUACUAGAUGUUGAACAGAUCGACCUGUGCAGUAUCAAAGCUAACGCGUUAAGUAUCCCGCCUGGGAAGUAUGCUCGCAAGAGU
RNAcentral lists this ribosomal RNA (774 nucleotides) under uncultured bacterium. Its description in RNAcentral is "bacterial SSU rRNA". It matches the Rfam family "Bacterial small subunit ribosomal RNA", at positions 90 to 895 of the family's 1533-position model. The record is from RNAcentral.